Molecule: ribosomal RNA, 468 nt
Filed under: uncultured bacterium
Lineage: Bacteria
Description: partial 16S ribosomal RNA
Rfam family: Bacterial small subunit ribosomal RNA
Source: RNAcentral
GACGAACGCUGGCGGCGUGCUUAACACAUGCAAGUCGAACGGAAAGGCCCUGCUUUUGUGGGGUGCUCGAGUGGCGAACGGGUGAGUAACACGUGAGUAACCUGCCCUUGACUUUGGGAUAACUUCAGGAAACUGGGGCUAAUACCGGAUAGGAGCUCCUGCUGCAUGGUGGGGGUUGGAAAGUUUCGGCGGUUGGGGAUGGACUCGCGGCUUAUCAGCUUGUUGGUGGGGUAGUGGCUUACCAAGGCUUUGACGGGUAGCCGGCCUGAGAGGGGGACCGGCCACAUUGGGACUGGGAUACGGCCCAGACUCCUACGGGAGGCAGCAGUGGGGAAUAUUGCACAAUGGGCGGAAGCCUGAUGCAGCAACGCCGCGUGCGGGAUGACGGCCUUCGGGUUGUAAACCGCUUUCGCCUGUGACGAAGCGUGAGUGACGGUAAUGGGUAAAGAAGCACCGGCUAACUACGUG